CUCGUAGGCGGCCAACUAAGUCAGACGUGAAAUCCCUCGGCUUAACCGGGGAACUGCAUCUGAUACUGGAUGGCUUGAGAUUGGGAGAGGGAUGCGGAAUUCCAGGUGUAGCGGUGAAAUGCGUAGAUAUCUGGAGGAACACCGGUGGCGAAGGCGGCAUCCUGGACCAACACUGACGCUGAGGAGCGAAAGCCAGGGGAGACGAAAC
Molecule: ribosomal RNA, 208 nt
Filed under: uncultured bacterium
Lineage: Bacteria
Description: partial 16S ribosomal RNA
Rfam family: Bacterial small subunit ribosomal RNA
Source: RNAcentral